Molecule: ribosomal RNA, 253 nt
Filed under: uncultured bacterium
Lineage: Bacteria
Description: partial 16S ribosomal RNA
Rfam family: Bacterial small subunit ribosomal RNA
Source: RNAcentral
UACGAAGGGGGCUAGCGUUGCUCGGAAUCACUGGGCGUAAAGGGUGCGUAGGCGGGUCUUUAAGUCAGGGGUGAAAUCCUGGAGCUCAACUCCAGAACUGCCUUUGAUACUGAAGAUCUUGAGUUCGGGAGAGGUGAGUGGAACUGCGAGUGUAGAGGUGAGAUUCGUAGAUAUUCGCAGGAACACCAGUGGCGAAGGCGGCUCACUGGCCCGAUACUGACGCUGAUGCACGAAAGCGUGGGGAGCAAACAGG